UGGCCUUUAUGUCUCUGUGAACAGUGUGA
This 29-nucleotide non-coding RNA is filed under the name Mus musculus (house mouse). The record is from RNAcentral. Lineage: Eukaryota; Metazoa; Chordata; Mammalia; Rodentia; Muridae.